CCUACGGGUGGCAGCAGUGAGGGAUAUUGGUCAAUGGGGGAAACCCUGAACCAGCAAAGCCGCGUGAGGGAAGACGGUUUUCGGAUUGUCAACCUCUGUCCUCUGUGCAGCUAAUGACGGUAGCAGCGGAGGACGCUCCGGCUAACUACGUGACAGCAGCCGCGGUAAUACGUAGGGAGCAAGCGUUGUACGGAUUUACUGUGUGUAAAGGGUGCGUAGGCGGCUUUGCAAGUCAGAAGGGAAAUCCCUGGGCUUAACCCAUGAACUGCUUUUGAAACUGCAGAGCUUGAGUGGAGUAGAGGGAGGCAGAAUUCCCGGUGUAGCGGUGAAAUGCGUAGAGAUCGGGAGGAACACCAGUGGCGAAGGCGGCCUACUGGGCUCUAACUGACGCUGAGGCACGAAAGCGUGGGUAGCAAACAGGAUUAGAUACCCUUGUAGUC
This 440-nucleotide ribosomal RNA is filed under the name uncultured bacterium. RNAcentral describes it as "partial 16S ribosomal RNA". It matches the Rfam family "Bacterial small subunit ribosomal RNA", at positions 338 to 795 of the family's 1533-position model. The record is from RNAcentral.